CGUUCCAUGAGAAAGUAACCGACACACUGAAAAGGGGAAUUAAGCACCUUAUUAAAUGCGCUGAAUCCCAUAGCACGCUAACACAGGAGGUUCAGGUGCCACAUUUCAACUGGUCUGCCCUCGGAUCCGAUCACACGCACACAGCAGUUUCUUUUUUACUUUUUCAUUGUGUUUGGGAACGCCCUUUGGAUGCACUACGCAUUUCAUAUCUUACUAUUAUUAGUAUUAGUAUUAUAUUUCACAGGAGUGAAAGUUUGGAGCAUGCUCAGUGCAGCCGUACCGGACUGAUGGAGAUUUCCCAUUUCAUAGAGGCAGCUCUGCCUGCUGUUGCCUGGGCCAUCUAACAACAUCUGAAACACUGAGAGGAAAACUCGAGAGGGGACCAAAGACAGAGUGAACGGAGUCAGAAGAAACAUUAUUUACAACCACAAGCCAUGAAGACUGGACAGAAGGGUCGUGGCCUGAAGGUAAACAAAGCAAUGAAGACAACUGUGAAGACCCCGCCCAGGCGUGCAGGCAAAGCAUCAAUUUACAGCCCAAUGUACAGCCCUUUACCUGACAACAAGACUGCAGAUCAAUGCGCACCUUGUAUCAGUCGCUGCUUAAGUGCACUGCACUUCACACUUCAGCUUCCUCCUCUUCAUCUUUGGGGCAUGAAAACUGACAUUAAAUGACUGUAAACAGUA
Long non-coding RNA from Anguilla rostrata (American eel), 686 nucleotides. RefSeq lists it as uncharacterized. The transcript has 2 exons. The record is from RefSeq and is a predicted model, not a curated record. Lineage: Eukaryota; Metazoa; Chordata; Actinopteri; Anguilliformes; Anguillidae.